RNAcentral lists this ribosomal RNA (500 nucleotides) under uncultured bacterium. RNAcentral describes it as "partial 16S ribosomal RNA". It matches the Rfam family "Bacterial small subunit ribosomal RNA", at positions 30 to 523 of the family's 1533-position model. The record is from RNAcentral.
AUUGAACGCUGGCGGCAUGCCUUACACAUGCAAGUCGAACGGCAGCGGGGACUUCGGUCCGCCGGCGAGUGGCGAACGGGUGAGUAAAGCAUCGGAACGUACCCUUCAGUGGGGGAUAACUAUCCGAAAGGAUAGCUAAUACCGCAUAUUCUCUGAGGAGGAAAGCGGGGGACCUUAUGGCCUCGCGCUGAUGGAGCGGCCGAUGUCAGAUUAGCUAGUUGGUGAGGUAAAGGCUCACCAAGGCGACGAUCUGUAGCGGGUCUGAGAGGAUGAUCCGCCACACUGGGACUGAGACACGGCCCAGACUCCUACGGGAGGCAGCAGUGGGGAAUUUUGGACAAUGGGGGCAACCCUGAUCCAGCCAUGCCGCGUGAGUGAAGAAGGCCUUCGGGUUGUAAAGCUCUUUCGGCCGGGAAGAAAUCGCACAGGUUAAUACCUUGUGUGGAUGACGGUACCGGAAUAAGAAGCACCGGCUAACUACGUGCCAGCAGCCGCCGUAA